RNAcentral lists this non-coding RNA (30 nucleotides) under Rattus norvegicus (Norway rat). Lineage: Eukaryota; Metazoa; Chordata; Mammalia; Rodentia; Muridae. The record is from RNAcentral.
UUGUCAAGCAAAAGUGACUCCUAUUAUAAG